Molecule: ribosomal RNA, 232 nt
Filed under: uncultured bacterium
Lineage: Bacteria
Description: partial 16S ribosomal RNA
Rfam family: Bacterial small subunit ribosomal RNA
Source: RNAcentral
UACGGGGGGGGCAAGCGUUGUUCGGAAUUACUGGGCGUAAAGGGCUCGUAGGCGGCCAACUAAGUCAUACGUGAAAUCCCCCGGCUUAACCGGGGAACUGCGUCUGAUACUGGAUGGCUUGAGUUCGGGAGAGGGAUGCGGAAUUCCAGGUGUAGCGGUGAAAUGCGUAGAUAUCUGGAGGAACACCGGUGGCGAAGGCGGCAUCCUGGACCGAUACUGACGCUGAGGAGCG